This 492-nucleotide ribosomal RNA is filed under the name uncultured bacterium. RNAcentral describes it as "partial 16S ribosomal RNA". It matches the Rfam family "Bacterial small subunit ribosomal RNA", at positions 29 to 507 of the family's 1533-position model. The record is from RNAcentral.
AGUGAACGCUGGCGGUAGGCCUAACACAUGCAAGUCGAACGGCAGCACAGUAAGAGCUUGCUCUUACGGGUGGCGAGUGGCGGACGGGUGAGGAAUACAUCGGAAUCUACUUUUUCGUGGGGGCUAACGUAGGGAAACUUACGCUAAUACCGCAUACGACCUACGGGUGAAAGCAGGGGAUCUUCGGACCUUGCGCGAUUGAAUGAGCCGAUGUCGGAUUAGCUAGUUGGCGGGGUAAAGGCCCACCAAGGCGACGAUCCGUAGCUGGUCUGAGAGGAUGAUCAGCCACACUGGAACUGAGACACGGUCCAGACUCCUACGGGAGGCAGAAGUGGGGAAUAUUGGACAAUGGGCGCAAGCCUGAUCCAGCCAUACCGCGUGGGUGAAGAAGGCCUUCGGGUUGUAAAGCCCUUUUGUUGGGAAAGAAAAGCAGCAGGUUAAUACCCCGCUGUUCUGACGGUACCCAAAGAAUAAGCACCGGCUAACUUCGUG